CUCUCCUUCACAGGUGGUUCUAGUUUGCUGGGGGGCGUGGCCCACACCUGCGGCUCAUUUGGAGCGCUGUUCACUGGCGUCUUAAGAAAGGCACAGACAGAUGGAAGACGCCAGAGCCUUACCCAGUCGUGGUACGACAUGGCCUCUGACCUGAUCCUGCAAACCUGAACUUGUGAGUUUUUUCGUAUCUUUGGAACCUGACUAAUUUUGGAUCUCCUGCCUUUCUUGUAGUUUUGUGUUUGGGUUACUCACCCGUCUUGACGUCUCACUCGACGAACCAUCUUCCAACAAUCCCAGAAACUCAGAUGUUGCUCUGGCAUUCCCCCUCGUACUCUCUGGAUGUUACCUAGCUGGGCUUGAGGUUUCCCUUCCCUGGAUUCUGCUGGUUCCCUCUGAUCUCUGGUCAAACUGUCUGUCUCCCCUGUCUGUCAUGGCUCCCUCCGGAUCCCUCGCCGCCUUGCCAUCAGUCCGCCCUCCAGCUGCUAACCACCGGCCAUCCUCAUGAACACUCGGCCUCAGAGUUUCCCUCACCUUCCCCUCCCUGGUUAGGUUCGCUCAACUAAAUGUUCCUCCGGCAUUGAUGUUCAGACCUCGACGGAUCUCCACACCCGUGCGAUCCCUGUACCUGAACCAUUUAAUAAACAUCUUUAAACUGCA
Fundulus heteroclitus (mummichog) is the source of this 657-nucleotide long non-coding RNA. RefSeq lists it as uncharacterized. The transcript has 2 exons. Lineage: Eukaryota; Metazoa; Chordata; Actinopteri; Cyprinodontiformes; Fundulidae. The record is from RefSeq and is a predicted model, not a curated record.